GAGACUGACACAUGAAUCAUGGCUGUUUAAUUACACAGUCUGUCAAGUCAAGUGUUUUCUUCUGUAACAAAAAAUAGAGAGCUAGAGGGGGUAUAGAGGAGGGUGACAUGUGAAUCAUGGCCGUUUAAUUACACAGUCUGUCAAGUCAAGUGUUUGCUUCUGUAACAAGAAAUAGAGGGGGUAUAGAGGAGAUUGACACAUGAAGUUCUGAUC
RNAcentral lists this long non-coding RNA (213 nucleotides) under Mytilus galloprovincialis (Mediterranean mussel). The record is from RNAcentral. Lineage: Eukaryota; Metazoa; Mollusca; Bivalvia; Mytilida; Mytilidae.